AUGGUGACAUCCAGCCUGUGAGGCCACCUGGUGCGGCUUGGGAACCCGCAGAAGCCUGCACUGAAGCCCAGCAAACCCCUCAUCCUAGCUAACCGCAGCAAGGACUGGCGUCCGGAGAAGGGCGAGGCCGCUUGUAUCAUGGAGUGUCAGCUUGCUGGAAGCCGAAUGAAUUCCGCGAUGAUAUGUGCAGAAAAGAGAUCCAGGGCUUUUUCGAUUGUGCUUCAAGGGAUUAGGAAGCCUAAAAAAUGAGAUCAAUACAGGAGACCCUGGGAGAGUCUGGGAGUUUACCUCCCAAUAAAUAGAGUAAGUUGUCAUAGAGGUUUCCUAAGACACCUCACCUAAGC
This 344-nucleotide long non-coding RNA is filed under the name Homo sapiens (human). RNAcentral describes it as "non-protein coding lnc-ALDH3A2-8:1". Lineage: Eukaryota; Metazoa; Chordata; Mammalia; Primates; Hominidae. The record is from RNAcentral.